CCUACGUGUGGCUGCAGUGGGGAAUAUUGGACAAUGGGCGAAAGCCUGAUCCAGCCAUGCCGCGUGUGUGAAGAAGGCCUUCGGGUUGUAAAGCACUUUCAGUGGGGAAGAAAGCCUUGGGGCUAAUACCCUCGAGGAAGGACAUCACCCACAGAAGAAGCACCGGCUAACUCCGUGCCAGCAGCCGCGGUAAUACGGAGGGUGCGAGCGUUAAUCGGAAUUACUGGGCGUAAAGCGCGCGUAGGCGGUCUGAUAAGCCGGUUGUGAAAGCCCCGGGCUCAACCUGGGAACGGCAUCCGGAACUGUCAGGCUAGAGGGCAGGAGAGGAAGGUAGAAUUCCCGGUGUAGCGGUGAAAUGCGUAGAGAUCGGGAGGAAUACCAGUGGCGAAGGCGGCCUUCUGGACUGACACUGACGCUGAGGUGCGAAAGCGUGGGUAGCAAACAGGAUUAGAUACCCUUGUAGUC
This 465-nucleotide ribosomal RNA is filed under the name Vreelandella stevensii. Its description in RNAcentral is "partial 16S ribosomal RNA". It matches the Rfam family "Bacterial small subunit ribosomal RNA", at positions 338 to 795 of the family's 1533-position model. The record is from RNAcentral. Lineage: Bacteria; Pseudomonadati; Pseudomonadota; Gammaproteobacteria; Oceanospirillales; Halomonadaceae.